UAGNANAANUNUACACCGCNGCGUGGCUCACUAUAUAACUUAUCGUUUAUUUGAUAUCACCUUACCCCACGUAUACCCGUUAUAUCUCUAGCUCAUACAUGCGCAAAAUCCCCACAUCGGAGAGGGUAUUUAUUAUAUUUAAAACCAAUGCCCUUCGGGGCUCCUCGGGGGAUUAUUGAUAAUUUCUCNAUNCCAAGGGCCCCGCNCCGGCAAGGGUUCUUUCAAUUUUCUUCCNAAUCACUUUCCUAUCCUAUUGUAAUGUCCAUGGNAGCACCGGGUGCGGUGGGGNAAAANGAUAACGGGUAAACGGAAAAAAUAACANAUAUGGGUCGGAGACNAUUCAUUCUAAUUUCUGCCCCAUCAACUCUCGAUGGUANGAUAGAGGCCUACNAUGGUCNCAACGGGUAACGGGGAA
RNAcentral lists this ribosomal RNA (415 nucleotides) under uncultured fungus. Its description in RNAcentral is "partial 18S ribosomal RNA". It matches the Rfam family "Eukaryotic small subunit ribosomal RNA", at positions 94 to 369 of the family's 1831-position model. Lineage: Eukaryota; Fungi. The record is from RNAcentral.